RNAcentral lists this ribosomal RNA (369 nucleotides) under uncultured bacterium. Its description in RNAcentral is "bacterial SSU rRNA". It matches the Rfam family "Bacterial small subunit ribosomal RNA", at positions 523 to 898 of the family's 1533-position model. The record is from RNAcentral.
AUACGUAGGGGGCAAGCGUUGUCCGGAAUUACUGGGCGUAAAGGGCACGCAGGCGGUAUAAUAAGUCAGAUGUGAAAGUUUACAGCUUAACUGUGAAAGUGCAUUUGAAACUGAUAUACUUGAGUCUCGGAGAGGUAAGCGGAAUUCCUAGUGUAGCGGUGAAAUGCGUAGAUAUUAGGAGGAACACCGGUGGCGAAGGCGGCUUACUGGACGAGUACUGACGCUCAUGUGCGAAAGCGUGGGGAGCAAACAGGAUUAGAUACCCUGGUAGUCCACGCUGUAAACGAUGAAUACUAGGUGUUGGGGAAACUCAGUGCCGCAGUUAACACAAUAAGUAUUCCGCCUGGGGAGUACGCUCGCAAGAGUGAA